This 377-nucleotide unclassified non-coding RNA is filed under the name uncultured Frankiales bacterium. RNAcentral's name for it is "contains 16S-23S intergenic spacer region". Lineage: Bacteria; Bacillati; Actinomycetota; Actinomycetes; Frankiales. The record is from RNAcentral.
UCCGAGUUGACCCCGGCAGUCUCCUAUGAGUCCCCGGCAUAACCCGCUGGCAACAUAGAACGAGGGUUGCGCUCGUUGCGGGACUUAACCCAACAUCUCACGACACGAGCUGACGACAACCAUGCACCACCUGUACACCGCCCUUGCGGACCCCGUAUCUCUACGAGUUUUCGGUGUAUGUCAAGCCUUGGUAAGGUUCUUCGCGUUGCGUCGAAUUAAGCCACAUGCUCCGCUGCUUGUGCGGGCCCCCGUCAAUUCCUUUGAGUUUUAGCCUUGCGGCCGUACUCCCCAGGCGGGGUGCUUAAUGCGUUAGCUGCGGCACGAACGGCGUGGAAUACCGCUCACACCUAGCACCCACCGUUUACGGCGUGGACUAC